AGAGUUUGAUCAUGGCUCAGAUUGAACGCUGGCGGCAGGCCUAACACAUGCAAGUCGAGCGGUAGCACAGAGAGCUUGCUCUCGGGUGACGAGCGGCGGACGGGUGAGUAAUGUCUGGGAAACUGCCUGAUGGAGGGGGAUAACUACUGGAAACGGUAGCUAAUACCGCAUAAUGUCGCAAGACCAAAGUGGGGGACCUUCGGGCCUCAUGCCAUCAGAUGUGCCCAGAUGGGAUUAGCUAGUAGGUGGGGUAACGGCUCACCUAGGCGACGAUCUCUAGCUGGUCUGAGAGGAUGACCAGCCACACUGGAACUGAGACACGGUCCAGACUCCUACGGGAGGCAGCAGUGGGGAAUAUUGCACAAUGGGCGCAAGCCUGAUGCAGCCAUGCCGCGUGUGUGAAGAAGGCCUUCGGGUUGUAAAGCACUUUCAGCGGGGAGGAAGGCGUUAAGGUUAAUAACCUUGGCGAUUGACGUUACCCGCAGAAGAAGCACCGGCUAACUCCGUGCCAGCAGCCGCGGUAAUACGGAGGGUGCAAGCGUUAAUCGGAAUUACUGGGCGUAAAGCGCACGCAGGCGGUCUGUCAAGUCGGAUGUGAAAUCCCCGGGCUCAACCUGGGAACUGCAUUCGAAACUGGCAGGCUAGAGUCUUGUAGAGGGGGGUAGAAUUCCAGGUGUAGCGGUGAAAUGCGUAGAGAUCUGGAGGAAUACCGGUGGCGAAGGCGGCCCCCUGGACAAAGACUGACGCUCAGGUGCGAAAGCGUGGGGAGCAAACAGGAUUAGAUACCCUGGUAGUCCACGCCGUAAACGAUGUCGAUUUGGAGGUUGUGCCCUUGAGGCGUGGCUUCCGGAGCUAACGCGUUAAAUCGACCGCCUGGGGAGUACGGCCGCAAGGUUAAAACUCAAAUGAAUUGACGGGGGCCCGCACAAGCGGUGGAGCAUGUGGUUUAAUUCGAUGCAACGCGAAGAACCUUACCUGGUCUUGACAUCCACAGAACUUUCCAGAGAUGGAUUGGUGCCUUCGGGAACUGUGAGACAGGUGCUGCAUGGCUGUCGUCAGCUCGUGUUGUGAAAUGUUGGGUUAAGUCCCGCAACGAGCGCAACCCUUAUCCUUUGUUGCCAGCGGUUAGGCCGGGAACUCAAAGGAGACUGCCAGUGAUAAACUGGAGGAAGGUGGGGAUGACGUCAAGUCAUCAUGGCCCUUACGACCAGGGCUACACACGUGCUACAAUGGCAUAUACAAAGAGAAGCGACCUCGCGAGAGCAAGCGGACCUCAUAAAGUAUGUCGUAGUCCGGAUUGGAGUCUGCAACUCGACUCCAUGAAGUCGGAAUCGCUAGUAAUCGUAGAUCAGAAUGCUACGGUGAAUACGUUCCCGGGCCUUGUACACACCGCCCGUCACACCAUGGGAGUGGGUUGCAAAAGAAGUAGGUAGCUUAACCUUCGGGAGGGCGCUUACCACUUUGUGAUUCAUGACUGGGGUGAAGUCGUAACAAGGUAACCGUAGGGGAACCUGCGGUUGGAUCACCU
RNAcentral lists this ribosomal RNA (1528 nucleotides) under Klebsiella pneumoniae. Its description in RNAcentral is "bacterial SSU rRNA". It matches the Rfam family "Bacterial small subunit ribosomal RNA". The record is from RNAcentral. Lineage: Bacteria; Pseudomonadati; Pseudomonadota; Gammaproteobacteria; Enterobacterales; Enterobacteriaceae.